UUCGAGUGGCGGACGGGUGAGUAACGCGUGGGUAACCUGCCUUACACAGGGGGAUAACACCUGGAAACAGGUGCUAAUACCGCAUAAGCGCACAGGGCCGCAUGGCCCGGNGUGAAAAACUCCGGUGGUGUAAGAUGGACCCGCGUCUGAUUAGCUUGUUGGCGGGGUAGGGGCCCACCAAGGCGACGAUCAGUAGCCGGCCUGAGAGGGUGGACGGCCACAUUGGGACUGAGACACGGCCCAGACUCCUACGGAAGGCAGCAG
Molecule: ribosomal RNA, 264 nt
Filed under: uncultured bacterium
Lineage: Bacteria
Description: partial 16S ribosomal RNA
Rfam family: Bacterial small subunit ribosomal RNA
Source: RNAcentral